Molecule: ribosomal RNA, 233 nt
Filed under: uncultured bacterium
Lineage: Bacteria
Description: partial 16S ribosomal RNA
Rfam family: Bacterial small subunit ribosomal RNA
Source: RNAcentral
CGGCGAACGGGUGAGUAACGCGUGGAUACCUGCCCUGAGGCGGGGGAUAACCCGGAGAAAUUCGGGCUAAUACCGCAUAUGACUGUGAGGUCAAAGGGGGCUCGCAAGGGCUCCCGCCAUAGGAGGGGUCCGCGUCCGAUUAGCUAGUUGGUAGGGUAAUGGCCUACCAAGGCGACGAUCGGUAGCCGGCCUGAGAGGGUGAUCGGCCACACUGGAACUGAGACACGGUCCAG